CAGUAGCCGCGGUAAUACGAGGGGGGCAAGCGUUGUUCGGAAUUAUUGGGCGUAAAGGGUGCGUAGGCGGUUUGGCAAGUCUUAUGUGAAAUCUUCAGGCUCAACCUGAAGUCUGCAUGAGAAACUGCCGGGCUUGAGUAUUGGAGAGGUGAGUGGAAUUUCCGGUGUAGCGGUGAAAUGCGUAGAUAUCGGAAGGAACACCUGUGGCGAAAGCGGCUCACUGGACAAUAACUGACGCUGAGGCACGAAAGCUAGGGGAGCAAACAGGAUUAGAUACCCCAGUAGUCCCUGUCUCUUAUAC
RNAcentral lists this ribosomal RNA (301 nucleotides) under uncultured bacterium. Its description in RNAcentral is "partial 16S ribosomal RNA". It matches the Rfam family "Bacterial small subunit ribosomal RNA", at positions 509 to 807 of the family's 1533-position model. The record is from RNAcentral.